AGUCAGAGGCGAUGAAGGACGUGCUAAUCUGCGAUAAGCGUCGGUAAGGUGAUAUGAACCGUUAUAACCGGCGAUUUCCGAAUGGGGAAACCCAGUGUGUUUCGACACACUAUCAUUAACUGAAUCCAUAGGUUAAUGAGGCGAACCGGGGGAACUGAAACAUCUAAGUACCCCGAGGAAAAGAAAUCAACCGAGAUUCCCCCAGUAGCGGCGAGCGAACGGGGAGCAGCCCAGAGCCUGAAUCAGUGUGUGUGUUAGUGGAAGCGUCUGGAAAGGCGCGCGAUACAGGGUGACAGCCCCGUACACAAAAAUGCACAUGCUGUGAGCUCGAUGAGUAGGGCGGGACACGUGGUAUCCUGUCUGAAUAUGGGGGGACCAUCCUCCAAGGCUAAAUACUCCUGACUGACCGAUAGUGAACCAGUACCGUGAGGGAAAGGCGAAAAGAACCCCGGCGAGGGGAGUGAAAAAGAACCUGAAACCGUGUACGUACAAGCAGUGGGAGCCUCUUUUAUGGGGUGACUGCGUACCUUUUGUAUAAUGGGUCAGCGACUUAUAUUCUGUAGCAAGGUUAACCGAAUAGGGGAGCCGAAGGGAAACCGAGUCUUAACUGGGCGUUAAGUUGCAGGGUAUAGACCCGAAACCCGGUGAUCUAGCCAUGGGCAGGUUGAAGGUUGGGUAACACUAACUGGAGGACCGAACCGACUAAUGUUGAAAAAUUAGCGGAUGACUUGUGGCUGGGGGUGAAAGGCCAAUCAAACCGGGAGAUAGCUGGUUCUCCCCGAAAGCUAUUUAGGUAGCGCCUCGUGAAUUCAUCUCCGGGGGUAGAGCACUGUUUCGGCAAGGGGGUCAUCCCGACUUACCAACCCGAUGCAAACUGCGAAUACCGGAGAAUGUUAUCACGGGAGACACACGGCGGGUGCUAACGUCCGUCGUGAAGAGGGAAACAACCCAGACCGCCAGCUAAGGUCCCAAAGUCAUGGUUAAGUGGGAAACGAUGUGGGAAGGCCCAGACAGCCAGGAUGUUGGCUUAGAAGCAGCCAUCAUUUAAAGAAAGCGUAAUAGCUCACUGGUCGAGUCGGCCUGCGCGGAAGAUGUAACGGGGCUAAACCAUGCACCGAAGCUGCGGCAGCGACGCUUAUGCGUUGUUGGGUAGGGGAGCGUUCUGUAAGCCUGUGAAGGUGUGCUGUGAGGCAUGCUGGAGGUAUCAGAAGUGCGAAUGCUGACAUAAGUAACGAUAAAGCGGGUGAAAAGCCCGCUCGCCGGAAGACCAAGGGUUCCUGUCCAACGUUAAUCGGGGCAGGGUGAGUCGACCCCUAAGGCGAGGCCGAAAGGCGUAGUCGAUGGGAAACAGGUUAAUAUUCCUGUACUUGGUGUUACUGCGAAGGGGGGACGGAGAAGGCUAUGUUGGCCGGGCGACGGUUGUCCCGGUUUAAGCGUGUAGGCUGGUUUUCCAGGCAAAUCCGGAAAAUCAAGGCUGAGGCGUGAUGACGAGGCACUACGGUGCUGAAGCAACAAAUGCCCUGCUUCCAGGAAAAGCCUCUAAGCAUCAGGUAACAUCAAAUCGUACCCCAAACCGACACAGGUGGUCAGGUAGAGAAUACCAAGGCGCUUGAGAGAACUCGGGUGAAGGAACUAGGCAAAAUGGUGCCGUAACUUCGGGAGAAGGCACGCUGAUAUGUAGGUGAGGUCCCUCGCGGAUGGAGCUGAAAUCAGUCGAAGAUACCAGCUGGCUGCAACUGUUUAUUAAAAACACAGCACUGUGCAAACACGAAAGUGGACGUAUACGGUGUGACGCCUGCCCGGUGCCGGAAGGUUAAUUGAUGGGGUCAGCGCAANUACCCCAAACCGACACAGGUGGUCAGGUAGAGAAUACCAAGGCGCUUGAGAGAACUCGGGUGAAGGAACUAGGCAAAAUGGUGCCGUAACUUCGGGAGAAGGCACGCUGAUAUGUAGGUGAGGUCCCUCGCGGAUGGAGCUGAAAUCAGUCGAAGAUACCAGCUGGCUGCAACUGUUUAUUAAAAACACAGCACUGUGCAAACACGAAAGUGGACGUAUACGGUGUGACGCCUGCCCGGUGCCGGAAGGUUAAUUGAUGGGGUUAGCGGUAACNGUCAGGUAGAGAAUACCAAGGCGCUUGAGAGAACUCGGGUGAAGGAACUAGGCAAAAUGGUGCCGUAACUUCGGGAGAAGGCACGCUGAUAUGUAGGUGAAGCGACUUGCUCGUNGCGAAGCUCUUGAUCGAAGCCCCGGUAAACGGCGGCCGUAACUAUAACGGUCCUAAGGUAGCGAAAUUCCUUGUCGGGUAAGUUCCGACCUGCACGAAUGGCGUAAUGAUGGCCAGGCUGUCUCCACCCGAGACUCAGUGAAAUUGAACUCGCUGUGAAGAUGCAGUGUACCCGCGGCAAGACGGAAAGACCCCGUGAACCUUUACUAUAGCUUGACACUGAACAUUGAGCCUUGAUGUGUAGGAUAGGUGGGAGGCUUUGAAGUGUGGACGCCAGUCUGCAUGGAGCCGACCUUGAAAUACCACCCUUUAAUGUUUGAUGUUCUAACGUUGACCCGUAAUCCGGGUUGCGGACAGUGUCUGGUGGGUAGUUUGACUGGGGCGGUCUCCUCCUAAAGAGUAACGGAGGAGCACGAAGGUUGGCUAAUCCUGGUCGGACAUCAGGAGGUUAGUGCAAUGGCAUAAGCCAGCUUGACUGCGAGCGUGACGGCGCGAGCAGGUGCGAAAGCAGGUCAUAGUGAUCCGGUGGUUCUGAAUGGAAGGGCCAUCGCUCAACGGAUAAAAGGUACUCCGGGGAUAACAGGCUGAUACCGCCCAAGAGUUCAUAUCGACGGCGGUGUUUGGCACCUCGAUGUCGGCUCAUCACAUCCUGGGGCUGAAGUAGGUCCCAAGGGUAUGGCUGUUCGCCAUUUAAAGUGGUACGCGAGCUGGGUUUAGAACGUCGUGAGACAGUUCGGUCCCUAUCUGCCGUG
Molecule: ribosomal RNA, 2976 nt
Filed under: Escherichia coli
Lineage: Bacteria; Pseudomonadati; Pseudomonadota; Gammaproteobacteria; Enterobacterales; Enterobacteriaceae
Description: bacterial LSU rRNA
Rfam family: Bacterial large subunit ribosomal RNA
Source: RNAcentral